This 253-nucleotide ribosomal RNA is filed under the name uncultured prokaryote. Its description in RNAcentral is "partial 16S ribosomal RNA". It matches the Rfam family "Bacterial small subunit ribosomal RNA", at positions 525 to 777 of the family's 1533-position model. The record is from RNAcentral.
ACAGAGGGGGCAAGCGUUAUUCGGAAUUAUUGGGCGUAAAGGGCGCGUAGGCGGCCUGUUAAGUCAGUCGUGAAAGCCCGGGGCUCAACCCCGGAGGGUCGACUGAUACUGGCAAGCUAGAGUACGGAAGAGGUAGCUGGAAUUCCCGGUGUAGCGGUGAAAUGCGUAGAUAUCUGGAGGAACACCGGUGGCGAAGGCGGCGUUCUGGACUGCUACUGACACUGAGGAACGAAGGCCAGGGGAGCAAACGGGA